Molecule: transfer RNA, 91 nt
Filed under: Kiritimatiellia bacterium
Lineage: Bacteria; Pseudomonadati; Kiritimatiellota; Kiritimatiellia
Description: Kiritimatiellae bacterium tRNA-Ser
Rfam family: tRNA
About the family: Transfer RNA (tRNA) molecules are approximately 80 nucleotides in length.
Source: RNAcentral
GGAGGGGUGGCUGAGUGGACGAAGGCGGCAGACUCGAAAUCUGUUGUACUGCAUUGUGGUACCAGGGGUUCGAAUCCCUUCCCCUCCGCCA